This 468-nucleotide ribosomal RNA is filed under the name uncultured bacterium. Its description in RNAcentral is "partial 16S ribosomal RNA". It matches the Rfam family "Bacterial small subunit ribosomal RNA", at positions 28 to 507 of the family's 1533-position model. The record is from RNAcentral.
GACGAACGCUGGCGGCGUGCUUAACACAUGCAAGUCGAACGGAAAGGCCCUGCUUUUGUGGGGUGCUCGAGUGGCGAACGGGUGAGUAACACGUGAGUAACCUGCCCUUGACUUUGGGAUAACUUCAGGAAACUGGGGCUAAUACCGGAUAGGAGCUCCUGCUGCAUGGUGGGGGUUGGAAAGUUUCGGCGGUUGGGGAUGGGCUCGCGGCUUAUCAGCUUGUUGGUGGGGUAGUGGCUUACCAAGGGUUUGACGGGUAGCCGGCCUGGGAGGGUGACCGGCCACAUUGCGACUGCGAUACGGCCCAGACUCCUACGGGAGGCAGCAGUGGGGAAUAUUGCACAAUGGGCGGAAGCCUGAUGCAGCAACGCCGCGUGCGUGAUGACGGCCUUCGGGUUGUAAACCGCUUUCGCCGGUGACGAAGCGUGAGUGACGGUAAUGGGUAAAGAAGCACCGGCUAACUACGUG